AUUAAGCGGUAUUGAGUUUAAUUCGCACUAUUGUUUGAUUGACAUGUUUACGUGCAAGCGAAUAUUUUUAGAAACCAAUUAAUUAUGUUAUGACUGGGGCGUGUAGUCAUGAAAGGCGGGCUUUCCUGCAGGCCCUUAAUCCUCCCCCGGAGCCCGCCAAAAUCCUGCCCGCUGCAAAUCAGGCCCCCCAUAAAUUUGAGGGCCUGCCACGCAGGCUAAUGAGAAACAUA
Non-coding RNA from Paramuricea clavata, 230 nucleotides. Lineage: Eukaryota; Metazoa; Cnidaria; Anthozoa; Malacalcyonacea; Plexauridae. The record is from the annotation of a GenBank genome assembly.